CCCUUAGAUGUCCGGGGCCGCACGCGCGCUACACUGAAGGAAUCAGCGUGGCUUUCUCCCUGACCCGAAAGGGUUGGGAAACCCGUUGAAUCUCCUUCGUGAUAGGGAUUGGGGCUUGAAAUUGUUCCCCAUGAACGAGGAAUUCCUAGUAAACGCAAGUCAUCAGCUUGCAUUGAUUACGUCCCUGCCCUUUGUACACACCGCCCGUCGCACCAAUUGAUUGGAUGACUCGAUGAAAAAUCAGGACUGAGAUUUCUUUUGCUUCAUUGCAGAGGAAGUUUUGGGAAUCUUUUUAAAUCUCGUUAUCUAGAGAUUGGUGAAGUCGUAACA
Molecule: ribosomal RNA, 330 nt
Filed under: uncultured eukaryote
Lineage: Eukaryota
Description: partial 18S ribosomal RNA
Rfam family: Eukaryotic small subunit ribosomal RNA
Source: RNAcentral